This 426-nucleotide ribosomal RNA is filed under the name uncultured bacterium. Its description in RNAcentral is "bacterial SSU rRNA". It matches the Rfam family "Bacterial small subunit ribosomal RNA", at positions 356 to 774 of the family's 1533-position model. The record is from RNAcentral.
GGGGAAUUUUGGACAAUGGGCGCAAGCCUGAUCCAGCAAUGCCGCGUGCAUGAUGAAGGCCUUCGGGUUGUAAACUGCUUUUGUACGGAACGAAAAAGCUCUCUCUAAUACAGGGGGUGAAUGACGGUACCGUAAGAAUAAGCACCGGCUAACUACGUGCCAGCAGCCGCGGUAAUACGUAGGGUGCGAGCGUUAAUCGGAAUUACUGGGCGUAAAGCGUGCGCAGGCGGUUUUGUAAGACAGAGGUGAAUUCCCCGGGCUCGACCUGGGAACUGCCUUUGUGACUGCAAGGCUGGAGUGCGGCAGAGGGGGAUGGAAUUCCGCGUGUAGCAGUGAAAUGCGUAGAUAUGCGGAGGAACACCGAUGGCGAAGGCAAUCCCCUGGGCCUGCACUGACGCUCAUGCACGAAAGCGUGGGGAGCAAACA